CUUAACGGUAAAAUGGCCCCCGAUACUGGGCGUCUUGAGCACGACAGAGGUUGGUGGGAUUCGUAGUGUAGCGGUGAAAUGCAUAGAUAUUACGAAGAACACCGGUGGCGAAAGCGGCCAACUGGGUCGGAGCUGACGCUGAGGCACGAGAGCGUGGGGAGCGAACAGGAUUAGAUACCCUGGUAGUCCACGCUGUAAACGAUGUAUGCUAGUUGUUGGCCCUGGUUCGACCGGGGUCAGUGACGCAGUUAACGCAGUAAGCAUACCACCUGGGGAGUACGUUCGCAAGAAUGAAACUCAAAGGAAUUGACGGGGGCCCGCACAAGCGGUGGAGCAUGUGGCUUAAUUCGAUGCAACGCGAAGAACCUUACCCGGGCUAAAUCUGGCCCGACCGCCCCCGAAACGGGGCUUCCCUUCGGGGCGUGCC
This 427-nucleotide ribosomal RNA is filed under the name uncultured Bacteroidota bacterium. RNAcentral's name for it is "bacterial SSU rRNA". It matches the Rfam family "Bacterial small subunit ribosomal RNA", at positions 608 to 1032 of the family's 1533-position model. The record is from RNAcentral. Lineage: Bacteria; Pseudomonadati; Bacteroidota.